AAAAAAACAAACUCUGAGUUUCCGUGUUCAACUUUAACUGUCUGUCUUAUAUAAAAUUUUUUUAUAAUUUGUAUUUUUAUUGUUGUUAGAUAAUAAAGCAUGAUUAAUAUUUUAUGCGUGACUUGUCUUUUUAAUUUUUUUAUAAUUUUUUCAAAUAAGACGGACGGUCAAACAUUUAACACAAAAAUCAGGAUUCAUCUUCUU
Molecule: microRNA precursor, 204 nt
Filed under: Oryza sativa Indica Group (long-grained rice)
Lineage: Eukaryota; Viridiplantae; Streptophyta; Magnoliopsida; Poales; Poaceae
Description: MIR812 microRNA precursor family
Rfam family: MIR812 microRNA precursor family
Source: Rfam by way of RNAcentral